Molecule: non-coding RNA, 29 nt
Filed under: Rattus norvegicus (Norway rat)
Lineage: Eukaryota; Metazoa; Chordata; Mammalia; Rodentia; Muridae
Source: RNAcentral
UGCCAGCAACCAAAGACUUUGUUCAAUGU